CAGUCGCCGCGGUAAUACGGAGGGUGCAAGCGUUAAUCGGAAUUACUGGGCGUAAAGCGCACGUAGGCGGCUAUGUAAGUUAGAGGUGAAAGCCUGGAGCUCAACUCCAGAAUUGCCUUUAAGACUGCGUGGCUAGCAUGUGAGAGAGGUGAGUGGAAUUCCGAGUGUAGAGGUGAAAUUCGUAGAUAUUCGGAAGAACACCAGUGGCGAAGGCGGCUCACUGGCUCAUACUGGACGCUGAGGUGCGAAAGCGUGGGGAGCAAACAGGAUUAGAUACCCCCGUAGUCCCUGUCUCUUAUAC
This 301-nucleotide ribosomal RNA is filed under the name uncultured bacterium. Its description in RNAcentral is "partial 16S ribosomal RNA". It matches the Rfam family "Bacterial small subunit ribosomal RNA", at positions 509 to 807 of the family's 1533-position model. The record is from RNAcentral.